RNAcentral lists this ribosomal RNA (465 nucleotides) under uncultured bacterium. RNAcentral's name for it is "bacterial SSU rRNA". It matches the Rfam family "Bacterial small subunit ribosomal RNA", at positions 329 to 792 of the family's 1533-position model. The record is from RNAcentral.
CGCCAGACUCCUACGGGAGGCAGCAGUGAGGAAUAUUGGUCAAUGGGCGCGAGCCUGAACCAGCCAAGUCGCGUGAGGGAUGAAGGAUCUAUGGUUCGUAAACCUCUUUUAUAAGGGAAUAAAGUGCGGGACGCGUCCCGCUUCGCAUGUACCUUAUGAAUAAGGAUCGGCUAACUCCGUGCCAGCAGCCGCGGUAAUACGGAGGAUCCGAGCGUUAUCCGGAUUUAUUGGGUUUAAAGGGUGCGCAGGCGGGCUGUUAAGCCGGCGGUAAAAAUUCAGGGCUCAACCCUGUCGAGCCGUCGGAACUGGCAGUCUUGAGUGGGCGAGAAGUAUGCGGAAUGCGUGGUGUAGCGGUGAAAUGCAUAGAUAUCACGCAGAACGCCGAUUGCGAAGGCAGCAUACCGGCGCCCAACUGACGCUGAGGCACGAAAGCGUGGGGAUCGAACAGGAUUAGAUACCCCCGUA